This 774-nucleotide ribosomal RNA is filed under the name uncultured bacterium. Its description in RNAcentral is "bacterial SSU rRNA". It matches the Rfam family "Bacterial small subunit ribosomal RNA", at positions 8 to 796 of the family's 1533-position model. The record is from RNAcentral.
AGAGUUUGAUCAUGGCUCAGGACGAACGCUGGCGGCGUGCUUAACACAUGCAAGUCGAACGGUGAACCUGCUUCGGUGGGGGAUCAGUGGCGAACGGGUGAGUAACACGUGGGCAACCUGCCCUCAGCUCUGGGAUAACUCCAAGAAAUUGGGGCUAAUACUGGAUAUGACCGCUGACCGCAUGGUCUGGUGGUGGAAAGAUUUAUCGGCUGGGGAUGGGCCCGCGGCCUAUCAGCUUGUUGGUGGGGUAGUGGCCUACCAAGGCGACGACGGGUAGCCGGCCUGAGAGGGUGACCGGCCACACUGGGACUGAGACACGGCCCAGACUCCUACGGGAGGCAGCAGUGGGGAAUAUUGCGCAAUGGGCGAAAGCCUGACGCAGCGACGCCGCGUGGGGGAUGACGGCCUUCGGGUUGUAAACCUCUUUCAGCAGGGACGAAGCGAAAGUGACGGUACCUGCAGAAGAAGCACCGGCCAACUACGUGCCAGCAGCCGCGGUAAUACGUAGGGUGCAAGCGUUGUCCGGAAUUAUUGGGCGUAAAGAGCUCGUAGGCGGUUUGUUGCGUCGGCUGUGAAAACCUGAGGCUCAACCUCAGGCCUGCAGUCGAUACGAGCAGACUAGAGUGUUGCAGGGGAGACUGGAAUUCCUGGUGUAGCGGUGAAAUGCGCAGAUAUCAGGAGGAACACCGGUGGCGAAGGCGGGUCUCUGGGCAACAACUGACGCUGAGGAGCGAAAGCGUGGGGAGCGAACAGGAUUAGAUACCCUAGUAGUCC